UCCGGUUUGUCACCGGCAGUCUCCCUAGAGUGCCCUUGCGUAGCAACUAGGGACAAGGGUUGCGCUCGUUGCGGGACUUAACCCAACAUCUCACGACACGAGCUGACGACAGCCAUGCAGCGCCUGUGUACGCUGGUAUUGCUACCUCGUUAGGCUUUCACCCUUCUACUACGUACAUGUCAAGCCCAGGUAAGGUUCUUCGCGUUGCGUCGAAUUGAACCACAUGUUCCACCGCUUGUGCGGGCCCCCGUCAAUUCCUUUGAGUUUCAGUCUUGCGACCGUACUCCCCAGGCGCAGGACUUAACGCGUUAGCUACGGGACGCACCCCCAACGGGAUGCACCCCAAGUCCUGAUCGUUUAGGGCUAGGACUAC
RNAcentral lists this unclassified non-coding RNA (373 nucleotides) under uncultured bacterium. RNAcentral describes it as "contains 16S-23S intergenic spacer region". The record is from RNAcentral.